UACGUAGGGUGCAAGCGUUGUCCGGAAUUAUUGGGCGUAAAGCGCGCGCAGGCGGUUCUUUUAAGUCUGAUGUGAAAGCCCCCGGCUCAACCGGGGAGGGUCAUUGGAAACUGGGGAACUUGAGUGCAGAAGAGAAGAGCGGAAUUCCACGUGUAGCGGUGAAAUGCGUAGAGAUGUGGAGGAACACCAGUGGCGAAGGCGGCUCUUUGGUCUGUAACUGACGCUGAGGCGCGAAAGCGUGGGGAGCAAACAGG
Molecule: ribosomal RNA, 254 nt
Filed under: uncultured bacterium
Lineage: Bacteria
Description: partial 16S ribosomal RNA
Rfam family: Bacterial small subunit ribosomal RNA
Source: RNAcentral